GUGCCAGCAGCCGCGGUAAUUCCAGCUCCAAUAGCGUAUAUUAAAGUUGUUGUGGUUAAAAAGCUCGUAGUUGAACCUUGGGCCUGGCUGGCCGGUCCGCCUCACCGCGUGCACUGGUCCGGCCGGGCCUUUCCCUCUGUGGAACCCCAUACCCUUCACUGGGCGUGGCGGGGAAACAGGACAUUUACUUUGAAAAAAUUAGAGUGCUCCAGGCAGGCCUAUGCUCGAAUACAUUAGCAUGGAAUAAUAAAAUAGGACGCGCGGUUCUAUUUUGUUGGUUUAUAGGACCGCCGUAAUGAUUAAUAGGGACAGUCGGGGGCAUCAGUAUUCAACUGUCAGAGGUGAAAUUCUUGGAUCAGUUGAAGACUAACUACUGCGAAAGCAUUUGCCAAGGAUGUUUUCAUUAAUCAGGAACGAAAGUUAGGGGAUCGAAGACGAUCAGAUACCGUCGUAGUCUUAACCAUAAACUAUGCCGACUAGGGAUCGGACGGUGUUAUUCAUGACCCGUUCGGCACCUUACGAGAAAUCAAAGUGCUUGGGCUCCAGGGGGAGUAUGGUCGCAAGGCUGAAACUUAAAGAAAUUGACGGAAGGGCACCACCAGGGGUGGAGCCUGCGGCUUAAUUUGACUCAACACGGGGAAACUCACCAGGUCCAGACACAAUAAGGAUUGACAGAUUGAGAGCUCUUUCUUGAUUUUGUGGGUGGUGGUGCAUGGCCGUUCUUAGUUGGUGGGGUGACUUGUCUGCUUAAUUGCGAUAACGAACGAAGACC
This 772-nucleotide ribosomal RNA is filed under the name uncultured fungus. RNAcentral describes it as "SSU rRNA". It matches the Rfam family "Eukaryotic small subunit ribosomal RNA", at positions 564 to 1342 of the family's 1831-position model. The record is from RNAcentral. Lineage: Eukaryota; Fungi.